ACGAACGCUGGCGGCGUGCUUAACACAUGCAAGUCGAACGGUGAAGCGCCUUCCUUUUUGGUGGGUGUGGAUGAGUGGCGAACGGGUGAGUAACACGUGAGUAACCUGCCCCCUUCUUCUGGAUAACCGCAUGAAAGUGUGGCUAAUACGGGAUAUUCUGGGUCUGUCGCAUGAUGGGUCUGGGAAAGAUAUUGUUUCGGUGGGGGAUGGGCUCGCGGCCUAUCAGCUUGUUGGUGGGGUGAUGGCCUACCAAGGCGGUGACGGGUAGCCGGCCUGAGAGGGUGGACGGUCACACUGGGACUGAGACACGGCCCAGACUCCUACGGGAGGCAGCAGGGGGGAAUAUUGCACAAUGGGCGCAAGCCUGAUGCAGCGACGCCGCGUGAGGGAUGGAGGCCUUCGGGUUGUGAACCUCUUUCGCCAGUGAAGCAGGCCUGCCUCGUUUGUGGGUGGGUUGACGGUAGCUGGAGAAGAAGCGCCGGCUAACUACGUG
Molecule: ribosomal RNA, 493 nt
Filed under: uncultured bacterium
Lineage: Bacteria
Description: partial 16S ribosomal RNA
Rfam family: Bacterial small subunit ribosomal RNA
Source: RNAcentral